GGAUUAGUAGUCAAGCUGGUUAAGACACAACCCUUUCAAUGUUGUCACCGUGGGUUCAAGUCCCACCUAGUCUA
Molecule: transfer RNA, 74 nt
Filed under: Tolypocladium guangdongense
Lineage: Eukaryota; Fungi; Ascomycota; Sordariomycetes; Hypocreales; Ophiocordycipitaceae
Description: tRNA-Glu
Rfam family: tRNA
About the family: Transfer RNA (tRNA) molecules are approximately 80 nucleotides in length. Their secondary structure includes four short double-helical elements and three loops (D, anti-codon, and T loops).
Source: RNAcentral